CGGUUCCGCCGGGCGAUCGCGUCGCAGGUCCGCCUGCGCCGAGGAAAGUCCGGGCUCCUUGGACACGCUGCCAGGUAACGCCUGGGCACGCCGCAAGGCGUGACGGACAGUGCCACAGAGAAUAGACCGCCUUCGCGCGAGCGGAGGUAAGGGUGAAACGGUGGGGUAAGAGCCCACCGCGCCACUGGCAACAGGGGCGGCACGGCAAACCCCAGCGGGAGCAAGGCCAAAUAGGCGGCGAGCAGCAGUCCUCUGUGAUCAAGACGCCGCGGGUUGGCUGCUAGAGCGUGCGGGCGACCGUACGCCGAGAGAAAUGAUCGUCCGACGCCGCAAGGUGUCGACAGAACCCGGCUUACAGGCGGGACCGAUGC
This 371-nucleotide RNase P RNA is filed under the name Gemmatimonadaceae bacterium. Its description in RNAcentral is "RNase P RNA component class A". It matches the Rfam family "Bacterial RNase P class A". Rfam says of the family: Ribonuclease P (RNase P) is a ubiquitous endoribonuclease, found in archaea, bacteria and eukarya as well as chloroplasts and mitochondria. Lineage: Bacteria; Pseudomonadati; Gemmatimonadota; Gemmatimonadia; Gemmatimonadales; Gemmatimonadaceae. The record is from RNAcentral. RNAcentral also lists the same sequence under 1 other name.